Molecule: ribosomal RNA, 253 nt
Filed under: uncultured bacterium
Lineage: Bacteria
Description: partial 16S ribosomal RNA
Rfam family: Bacterial small subunit ribosomal RNA
Source: RNAcentral
UACGAAGGGGGCUAGCGUUGCUCGGAAUUACUGGGCGUAAAGGGCGCGUAGGCGGCCGCCUAAGUCAGACGUGAAAUCCCUCGGCUCAACCGGGGAACUGCGUCUGAUACUGGGUGGCUUGAAUUCGGGAGAGGGAUGCGGAAUUCCAGGUGUAGCGGUGAAAUGCGUAGAUAUCUGGAGGAACACCGGUGGCGAAGGCGGCAUUCUGGACCGACAUUGACGCUGAGGAGCGAAAGCCAGGGGAGCAAACGGG